GAUGAACGCUGACAGAAUGCUUAACACAUGCAAGUCUUUGGCGAAGCUGUGCUUGCACAGCCUAGCCAAGGCGGACGGGUGAGUAACGCGUAAGGAACUUGCCCUGCAGUCAGGGAUAACAGACGGAAACGACUGAUAAGACCUGGUAAAGUCAGGCGGACUCAUGUCGAGCCUGAUGAAAAGAGAUGCUGCAGGAGAGCCUUGCGUCCUAUUAGCUUGUUGGUGGGGUAACGGCCCACCAAGGCGAUGAUAGGUAGCCGGCCUGAGAGGGUGGACGGCCACAAGGGGACUGAGAUACCGCCCUUACUCCCACGGGAGGCAGCAGUGGGGAAUAUUGGACAAUGGGGGCAACCCUGAUCCAGCAAUUCUGUGUGCACGAUGAACGUUUUCGGAUUGUAAAGUGCUUUCAGCAGGGAAGAAAAAAAUGACGGUACCUGCAGAAGAAGCGACGGCUAAAUACGUG
Molecule: ribosomal RNA, 463 nt
Filed under: uncultured bacterium
Lineage: Bacteria
Description: partial 16S ribosomal RNA
Rfam family: Bacterial small subunit ribosomal RNA
Source: RNAcentral